Long non-coding RNA from Solanum stenotomum, 427 nucleotides. RefSeq lists it as uncharacterized. The transcript has 3 exons. NCBI's taxonomy places the organism in Eukaryota, Viridiplantae, Streptophyta, Magnoliopsida, Solanales, Solanaceae. The record is from RefSeq and is a predicted model, not a curated record.
GUCGUUGUUGUUGUUAGUUCCGUUGUCGUUUUAGGAGUAGUUGCUUUCAUUGGUUUUGCUGUCUGGAAGAACAAACAAAUCCAGAAGAAGAGAGAAGGUGCAAAUGAUGUUGAGAAAUUAGUGAAGAUCCUUAAUCAAAACAGCUUGAACUUCAAGUAUUCGACACUUGACAAAGCCACAGGUUCAUUUGAUGAGGCCAACAAGCCCGGGCAAGGUGGAUUUGGCACAGUUUAUAAGGGUGUUUUGGCUGACGGGAGAGAGAUCGCUGUCAAAAGGCUGUUCUUCAACAACAAACACAGAGCUGCAGAUUUUUAUAACGAGGUUAACAUAAUCAGUAGCGUCCAGCACAAAAACUUGACAAAGUUAUUGGGAUGCAGCUGCUCAGGAACGGAAAACCUUCUUGUAUACGAGUUACUCCCUAACAAGA